RNAcentral lists this ribosomal RNA (345 nucleotides) under uncultured soil bacterium. Its description in RNAcentral is "bacterial SSU rRNA". It matches the Rfam family "Bacterial small subunit ribosomal RNA", at positions 26 to 373 of the family's 1533-position model. The record is from RNAcentral.
AGAUUGAACGCUGGCGGCAUGCCUUACACAUGCAAGUCGAACGGCAGCACGGGAGCAAUCCUGGUGGCGAGUGGCGAACGGGUGAGUAAUAUAUCGGAACGUGCCCAGUCGUGGGGGAUAACGUAGAGAAAUUUACGCUAAUACCGCAUACGAUCCAAGGAUGAAAGCGGGGGACCGUAAGGCCUCGCGCGACUGGAGCGGCUGAUAUCAGAUUAGCUCGUUGGUGAGGUAAAAGCUCACCAAGGCGACGAUCUGUAGCUGGUUUGAGAGAACGACCAGCCACACUGGGACUGAGACACGGCCCAGACUCCUACGGGAGGCAGCAGUGGGGAAUUUUGGACAAGU